RNAcentral lists this ribosomal RNA (253 nucleotides) under uncultured bacterium. RNAcentral's name for it is "partial 16S ribosomal RNA". It matches the Rfam family "Bacterial small subunit ribosomal RNA", at positions 524 to 776 of the family's 1533-position model. The record is from RNAcentral.
UACGGAGGGUGCAAGCGUUGUUCGGAAUUACUGGGCGUAAAGCGCGCGUAGGCGGCUUAGUAAGUUGAGAGUGAAAGCCCCGGGCUUAACCCUGGAAUUGCUUUCAAUACUGCUAAGCUUGAGUAUGGUAGAGGAUAGUGGAAUUCCUAGUGUAGAGGUGAAAUUCGUAGAUAUUAGGAGGAACACCAGAGGCGAAAGCGACUAUCUGGGCCAUUACUGACGCUGAGGCGCGAAAGCGUGGGGAGCAAACAGG